This 548-nucleotide unclassified non-coding RNA is filed under the name Hevea brasiliensis (rubber tree). Lineage: Eukaryota; Viridiplantae; Streptophyta; Magnoliopsida; Malpighiales; Euphorbiaceae. The record is from RNAcentral.
CUGAAUUUGAAAUUAGAAAUGGCAGCUCUCUUGAAGUCUCUUUGCUUUGUGAUUUUUCUUGUAAUAAUAGGAAUUGCCAGGUUUAAUCGAGUUGAUGGGGCUGGAGAAUGUGGGAAAUCCACCACUCCUGACAGAGAAGCUUUCAAGCUGGCACCCUGUGCAUCGGCAGCCCAAGAUGAAAAUGCUGCAGUUUCUGCCCAAUGCUGUGCUCAAGUAAAAAAAAUUGGCCAGAACCCAGCCUGUCUUUGUGCUGUUAUGCUUUCUAAUACAGCUAAGAGUUCGGGAGUCAAUCCAGAAAUUGCAGUCACCAUUCCCAAACGUUGCAACAUUGCUGAUCGUCCUGUGGGCUACAAGUGUGGAGCUUAUACACUGCCUUGAAGAGCAACAUCAGUCGUGUGGUGUUAUGUAGUAAUACUUGCUUCUACGAAUGUGCUGGACUCUGCAACCUGGUAGCUAGUUCUUUCUAGCUAACAAAUAUACUCUACAUCCAGGAUCUGAUAAUAAAUAUAAUAUUAAUGCUUAAUAUUCUGUCUGAGCACUCGUUUGCU